Molecule: ribosomal RNA, 301 nt
Filed under: uncultured bacterium
Lineage: Bacteria
Description: partial 16S ribosomal RNA
Rfam family: Bacterial small subunit ribosomal RNA
Source: RNAcentral
CAGCCGCCGCGGUAAUACGAAGGGGGCUAGCGUUGCUCGGAAUUACUGGGCGUAAAGGGAGCGUAGGCGGCGUGGUAAGUCAGAUGUGAAAUCCCGGGGCUCAACCCCGGAACUGCAUCCGAUACUGCCAUGCUAGAGGAUUGGAGAGGUAGCUGGAAUUCUUGGUGUAGCAGUGAAAUGCGUGGAGAUCAAGAGGAACACUCGUGGCGAAAGCGAGCUACUGGACAAUAACUGAUGCUGAGGCUCGAAGGCCAGGGUAGCGAAAGGGAUUAGAUACCCCAGUAGUCCCUGUCUCUUAUAC